GGCGAGGGGCAUUGAGGCAUUGAGGCGAUGCCUUUUGAAAGGAGCAAUAAUUUUUUUUUCUUUUUUUUUUCAAUUAGAUCCCUAAUUUACAUUAAAUCCACUGUUUUUGUGUUAAAAUUGGGGCUGGCUGAUGAGCUGUCUACAUGGGCUCUUUCAUUUGUGUAAAAAGUCCAUUUAUAUUGUCUUCAAACCAGCCCAUUUAAUCUUUAUUAUUGAAUCACUGUAAAAGAAAUGAUUUUAGCAAUUUUAACAUUGCAACAAGUGAGUUUGAAAUGUUUUAAUCAAUUUUCAAUUCUAAGUAAGUUUGGGAACAUUUUCCAUAUGUGGAGUGGUAAACUCAUGAUUUUACAAGUUGAAACAAAAUUUUUAUAAGGCUGGAUACAAGCACAUGGAAACCAUAAAGCUUGCCACCACUGCCAAACAUAGAGCUUGACUAGUUUAAUGUAAAAAAAAUACAAGUAAAUCAAGACCAUAACACAUGGAUAUGUCAAACUGCAACAACAUUUUGAAAUCACUUGCAAAUAAAAUCUUAGGCAUGCCGGAAUAAUUUCAAAUGAAAGCCCACAAACAACAAGAAACCUUUCUCCAUAGGAUUUUUUCGAUUAAUAUAAGCAACAGAAAGUUCAGGCAGACCGACGAUCUCCCCUUCCCCCACUCCAGAAUUGAUUUCACGAAGUUAUAUUCUAUUGAUAGGCCUUUCAACCAAUCAAGAGAGUUGGCAUCACUCCUCUUUUUAGUCUUUUACUUGCAAAAGUUCUUUUAUUUUCUUCAUUUCAUUUCAACGUGAGCAGCCAAAGGUGGAAAACCGAGAGAAACAAAUCAUUACUGAUUCCAUUCUAAUGCAUUCACUAUUUCUCCUUGUAUGUAAUUUCUACAAAUUAAGCAGGGCAAAAGAGGAAAGUCAUUCUAAAAAGGUGUCCGUCCACCCUCUCAUAUCAGAUCUUUCGGGGAAGAGCUCAGUUCAAAAGUAAAUCAACUGUUCUUGUUUAACCGAGAGAGAAAAAAAACGAAGAAAGUUCCGAGCAAUGGUAUGCCAUCAGAAUAAUACUUCACUCUAUGCAGACAAUAAAAAGAAUGCUUCACAUAUAAGAACUAAAUUGUCUGGUCUCAGUAAAAUAGGACGCAUGACCUGAGAUUGUAGGUGACCACCA
RNAcentral lists this unclassified non-coding RNA (1151 nucleotides) under Hevea brasiliensis (rubber tree). The record is from RNAcentral. Lineage: Eukaryota; Viridiplantae; Streptophyta; Magnoliopsida; Malpighiales; Euphorbiaceae.